CUUGGUCAUUUAGAGGAAGUAAAAGUCGUAACAAGGUUUCCGUAGGUGAACCUGCGGAAGGAUCAUUCAUAAUAAGUGUUUUAUGGCACUUUUUAAAUCCAUAUCCACCUUGUGUGCAAUGUCAGUCGAUCUUCUUCAUGGAGAUCGACCAAACAUCAACCUUUAUUUUUUAACUCUUUGUCUGAAAAAUAUUAUGAAUAAACAAUUCAAAAUACAACUUUCAACAACGGAUCUCUUGGCUCUCGCAUCGAUGAAGAACGCAGCGAAAUGCGAUACGUAAUGUGAAUUGCAGAAUUCAGUGAAUCAUCGAAUCUUUGAACGCAUAUUGCGCUCUUUGGUAUUCCGAAGAGCAUGCUUGUUUGAGUAUCAGUAAACACCUCAAAGCUUUUGGAUUUUUUAAUCGAAAAGCUUUGGACUUGAGCAAUCCCAACACCAAUCUUUUUGAGAUCGGUGGCGGGUUGCUUGAAAUGCAGGUGCAGCUGGACAUUCUCCUGAGCUAAAAGCAUAUUCAUUUAGUCCCGUCAAACGGAUUAUUACUUUUGCUGCAGCUAACAUAAAGGGAGUUUGACCGUAUUGGCUGACUGAUGCAGGAUUUCACAAGGGUCGGCAACGAUUCUUGUUAAACUCGAUCUCGAAUCAAGUAAGACUACCCGCUGAACUUAAGCAUAUCAAUAAGCGGAGGAAAAGAAACUAACAAGGAUUCCCCUAGUAACGGCGAGUGAAGCGGGAUGAGCUCAAAUUUAAAAUCUGGCUGGUUUACUAGUCCGAAUUGUAGUUUAUAGAAGCGUUUUCGGUGGCAGCCUGGGUAUAAAUCCUUUGGAAUAGGGUAUCAUAGAGGGUGAGAAUCCCGUCUUUGACUCAGUGCAUGCUACUAUGUGAUACGUUUUCAAAGAGUCGAGUUGUUUGGGAAU
RNAcentral lists this small RNA (911 nucleotides) under uncultured zygomycete. RNAcentral describes it as "eukaryotic LSU rRNA". The stretch from base 627 to 911 matches the Rfam family "Eukaryotic large subunit ribosomal RNA", at positions 1 to 281 of the family's 3401-position model. Lineage: Eukaryota; Fungi. The record is from RNAcentral.